Solanum verrucosum is the source of this 302-nucleotide long non-coding RNA. RefSeq lists it as uncharacterized. NCBI's taxonomy places the organism in Eukaryota, Viridiplantae, Streptophyta, Magnoliopsida, Solanales, Solanaceae. The transcript is spliced from 2 exons. The record is from RefSeq and is a predicted model, not a curated record.
UCCUGAUCAGCUUCAAAUAGACAGUGUAGAAGAAACAAUCAUCCGCGAUGCUGCAAGCAUAAUGCAGCGUCUGGUUUCCUAACUCCUUUGUCACAUCUUCGACUGCAGGACAGGUUUUCCGCCUGAUUGAGUAAUUUUACUUCCUACAGUAUUUCUUUGCUUUUGCACCUUCUCUUUAUAAUUAGAGAGGGUUGAUUGUGCUUCUUCGAAAUGAGGUGCCAUGACAUUCUUCGUAUCAUCAAGCCACUUCAGAACUCUCUUGAAUGGGCCUAAUAUCCGCUCACGAUCCUUUUCAUCCAGAA